CAUAGGUUAACGAGGCGAACCGGGGGAACUGAAACAUCUAAGUACCCCGAGGAAAAGAAAUCAACCGAGAUUCCCCCAGUAGCGGCGAGCGAACGGGGAGCAGCCCAGAGUCUGAAUCAGCUUGUGUGUUAGUGGAAGCGUCUGGAAAGUCGCACGGUACAGGGUGACAGUCCCGUACACGAAAAUGCACAGGUUGUGAACUCGAAGAGUAGGGCGGGACACGUGGUAUCCUGUCUGAAUAUGGGGGGACCAUCCUCCAAGGCUAAAUACUCCUGACUGACCGAUAGUGAACCAGUACCGUGAGGGAAAGGCGAAAAGAACCCCGGCGAGGGGAGUGAAAAAGAACCUGAAACCGUGUACGUACAAGCAGUGGGAGCACCUUCGUGGUGUGACUGCGUACCUUUUGUAUAAUGGGUCAGCGACUUAUAUUCUGUAGCAAGGUUAACCGUAUAGGGGAGCCGAAGGGAAACCGAGUCUUAACUGGGCGUUAAGUUGCAGGGUAUAGACCCGAAACCCGGUGAUCUAGCCAUGGGCAGGUUGAAGGUUGGGUAACACUAACUGGAGGACCGAACCGACUAAUGUUGAAAAAUUAGCGGAUGACUUGUGGCUGGGGGUGAAAGGCCAAUCAAACCGGGAGAUAGCUGGUUCUCCCCGAAAGCUAUUUAGGUAGCGCCUCGUGAACUCAUCUUCGGGGGUAGAGCACUGUUUCGGCUAGGGGGCCAUCCCGGCUUACCAACCCGAUGCAAACUACGAAUACCGAAGAAUGUUAUCACGGGAGACACACGGCGGGUGCUAACGUCCGUCGUGAAGAGGGAAACAACCCAGACCGCCAGCUAAGGUCCCAAAGUCAUGGUUAAGUGGGAAACGAUGUGGGAAGGCACAGACAGCCAGGAUGUUGGCUUAGAAGCAGCCAUCAUUUAAAGAAAGCGUAAUAGCUCACUGGUCGAGUCGGCCUGCGCGGAAGAUGUAACGGGGCUAAACCAUG
RNAcentral lists this ribosomal RNA (985 nucleotides) under Enterobacter roggenkampii. RNAcentral describes it as "partial 23S ribosomal RNA". It matches the Rfam family "Bacterial large subunit ribosomal RNA", at positions 165 to 1191 of the family's 2925-position model. Lineage: Bacteria; Pseudomonadati; Pseudomonadota; Gammaproteobacteria; Enterobacterales; Enterobacteriaceae. The record is from RNAcentral.